CACUCUGGUCAAGAUUUUUUGGCGCUAAAACAUCUGUUACCAACAAUUCAUGGCUUACAUAUACCUAAAAUAUUCGGACCAGAUGUUACCAAUCUUGACGUUGUUAGUUUUACAGAAAGUUUUCUGACUCACGGGGGUAGAGAGGCGGUUGAUGCAGUUACCUUUCAUCAUUAUUACAUGGGCGGUUCACAUGCAUCCGUAUUAGAAUAUCGUAGUGCUCACGUGCUGGAUUCAUUGAAACAUAAAGUCGAUACGGCUAUCAAUACGUGUAAGAAAUAUGCCCCUGGUAAACCUGUAUGGUUGGCUGAAACAUCUGUUGCAUGGAGCUCUGCACCAAACAAUUUAAACAACCAAUACGUUGCUAGUUUCGCUUGGUUGGAUAAAUUGGGAAUAUCAGCUCAAAGAGGAAUCAAGGCUGUUUUGAGACAAACAUUCUACGGCGGAUUAAUAUCAA
Patella vulgata (common limpet) is the source of this 454-nucleotide RNA transcript. RefSeq lists it as uncharacterized. The record is from RefSeq and is a predicted model, not a curated record. The transcript is spliced from 4 exons. NCBI's taxonomy places the organism in Eukaryota, Metazoa, Mollusca, Gastropoda, Patellidae.